CCAAUCGCGUAUAUUAAAGUUGUUGCAGUUAAAAAGCUCGUCGUUGAAUUUCGGAAUUUUUUUAUCGGUUGAAUCAACAGGUUCGUACUGAUUUUAAGAAUUUCUACCUUCUGGAGAACCUUAAUGUCAUUUAUUUGAUGUUUUGGGAAACCAGGACUGUUACCUUGAAAAAAUUAGAGUGUUUAAAGCAGGCUUAUGUCUGAAUAUAUUAGCAUGGAAUAAUGAAAUAGGACGGCAUGGUUCUAUUUUGUUGGUUUCUAGGAUCACCGUAAUGAUUAAUAGGGAUAGUUGGGGGCAUUAGUAUUCAAUUGUCAGAGGUGAAAUUCUUGGAUUUAUUGAAGACUAACUUCUGCGAAAGCAUUUGCCAAGGAUGUUUUCAUUAAUCAAGAACGAAAGUUAGGGGAUCGAAGACGAUCAGAUACCGUCGUAGUCUUAACCAUAAACUAUGCCGACUAGGAAUCGGACGAAGUUAAUUUUUUAAUGACUCGUUCGGCGCCUUACG
This 502-nucleotide ribosomal RNA is filed under the name uncultured Glomeromycotina. Its description in RNAcentral is "partial small subunit ribosomal RNA". It matches the Rfam family "Eukaryotic small subunit ribosomal RNA", at positions 591 to 1092 of the family's 1831-position model. The record is from RNAcentral. Lineage: Eukaryota; Fungi; Glomeromycota.